RNAcentral lists this small RNA (986 nucleotides) under uncultured Herbaspirillum sp. Its description in RNAcentral is "bacterial SSU rRNA". The stretch from base 1 to 463 matches the Rfam family "Bacterial small subunit ribosomal RNA", at positions 1064 to 1533 of the family's 1533-position model. Lineage: Bacteria; Pseudomonadati; Pseudomonadota; Betaproteobacteria; Burkholderiales; Oxalobacteraceae. The record is from RNAcentral.
GUCGUGAGAUGUUGGGUUAAGUCCCGCAACGAGCGCAACCCUUGUCAUUAGUUGCUACGAAAGGGCACUCUAAUGAGACUGCCGGUGACAAACCGGAGGAAGGUGGGGAUGACGUCAAGUCCUCAUGGCCCUUAUGGGUAGGGCUUCACACGUCAUACAAUGGUACAUACAGAGGGCCGCCAACCCGCGAGGGGGAGCUAAUCCCAGAAAGUGUAUCGUAGUCCGGAUUGUAGUCUGCAACUCGACUGCAUGAAGUUGGAAUCGCUAGUAAUCGCGGAUCAGCAUGUCGCGGUGAAUACGUUCCCGGGUCUUGUACACACCGCCCGUCACACCAUGGGAGCGGGUUUUACCAGAAGUAGGUAGCUUAACCGCAAGGAGGGCGCUUACCACGGUAGGAUUCGUGACUGGGGUGAAGUCGUAACAAGGUAGCCGUAUCGGAAGGUGCGGCUGGAUCACCUCCUUUCUAGAGUAUGGCGCCACGCCAAACGCUCACACUUAUCGGCUGUUGACAAUUAAAGAACAGCAUUGGGGCUGUAGCUCAGCUGGUUAGAGCACCGUGUUGAUAACGCGGGGGUCGUUGGUUCGAGUCCAACCAGCCCUACCAGUCACACCCGGGGGGAUUAGCUCAGCUGGGAGAGCACCUGCUUUGCAAGCAGGGGGUCGUCGGUUCGAUCCCGUCAUCCUCCACCAUUACUGUUCAAACGUAAGCGAAGUGGCAACACUCGCGUUUAGGUUUGAGUAGUAGCGUUCUUUAACAAUUCGGAAGAAGUAAAGUUUUAUGAGGACAUAUCGAGAGAUAUGUUUUCAGGGUAGUAGUAAAACUCAUCAAACACAGUAGUGAAUGCUUAGAACUAUAGCCGUCAAGGUUAUAGGGACAAGUGAAUAAGUGCACAUGGUGGAUGCCUUGGCGAUUACAGGCGAUGAAGGACGUAGUAGUCUGCGAUAAGCUUCGGGGAGCUGACAAACAAGCUUUGAUCCGAAGAUUU